This 203-nucleotide long non-coding RNA is filed under the name Elaeis guineensis (African oil palm). Its description in RNAcentral is "long non-coding RNA (EGUI_LNC010249)". The record is from RNAcentral. Lineage: Eukaryota; Viridiplantae; Streptophyta; Magnoliopsida; Arecales; Arecaceae.
AAUAUAUAUAUUUAAUUUAUAUUUAUAAUAUUUUUAUAAAUUUAAAAUAAAAAUAAAAAUAAAAAUUUAUAUAAUAAAUUUAUAAAUAAAUUUUAUUAUUUUAUUAUAUUAAAUUAAAAUUACAAGAAGUCUAAAAUAAAAAUAAAAAGCUAUACAAAUAGAUCGUCAAAUGUCAGCAUCUGCAGAAGGAAAAUGGACUGGAA